Molecule: unclassified non-coding RNA, 227 nt
Filed under: plant metagenome
Description: partial contains small subunit ribosomal RNA and internal transcribed spacer 1
Rfam family: Eukaryotic small subunit ribosomal RNA (bases 1-46)
Source: RNAcentral
AAGUCGUAACAAGGUUUCCGUAGGUGAACCUGCGGAAGGAUCAUUAAAGGUAAUUGGUUAUACAUAUCCUGUAUCAACUGCACAAACCCAUUCCGAGUACCUUGCCUGUUGCUUUCCAUGGGGCCUGACUUUGGUCACUCUAGUGAUGCGAAUCCCAAGAGAGUCCCAUGGGGUAGUAUAAUCAUAGAUCAAUGUCAUUCUGAAUGAUUAAAUAACAAAUGUUAAAA